This is a non-coding RNA of Canis lupus familiaris (dog), 82 nucleotides long. The record is from Rfam. NCBI's taxonomy places the organism in Eukaryota, Metazoa, Chordata, Mammalia, Carnivora, Canidae.
GCCUGGGUGGCUCAGCGGUUGAGCGUCUGCCUUCAGUUCAGGCUGUGAUCCUGGGUCCUGGGAUCGAGUCCCACAUCAGGCU